UGGAAUGUUAAGAAGUAUGUA
Molecule: microRNA, 21 nt
Filed under: Xenopus laevis (African clawed frog)
Lineage: Eukaryota; Metazoa; Chordata; Amphibia; Anura; Pipidae
Also listed under: 4 other names
Description: xla-miR-1b
Gene: xla-miR-1b
Source: miRBase by way of RNAcentral